Long non-coding RNA from Lepidothrix coronata (blue-crowned manakin), 14315 nucleotides. RefSeq lists it as uncharacterized. NCBI's taxonomy places the organism in Eukaryota, Metazoa, Chordata, Aves, Passeriformes, Pipridae. The record is from RefSeq and is a predicted model, not a curated record. The transcript has 6 exons.
CGGCGCUCUGCGCCCGCCGCGCGGGGCUGGCCGAGGGGGAACCUUCUGGAAGGGCCCGGGGCCGGGCCGUGCCCGGGGGCUCGGGGGACUCCGUGCCCUCGUGUUCGUGAAGAGCAAGGUCAGUCCUGGGACUGAGAACUUUACUCGGGUGCGACGGCCGAUUUAAUUCCAGCAGUCAGCCCCGCGGCCGGGACAGAGGGAUAACCGGGGAUGUACCGCCGUAAAACAACCCCGAGGCUUCCCUGGAAGAUCCUGACAGUUUCGGGAAGGCUCUGUUACUUUCCAGUCUUUUCCAGGGUAAAUUUAUCCACCACUGAGGGAGAACCCCAGCGGCUCCUGCCCCCGUGGAAAGGGUGCCGAGAGGAAGAGCUGCAGCCCAAGGCCGGCUGAAAACCCGGGGUUAAAACCAGAGUAUGUUUGCUCAGCAGGUACCCGAAGGAGCGACCCUGAGGUUUGCUCUCCCGUUUUGCUCUGUCGGCCCCUUUGCGUUUAUAGGUCUUUUGGAAUCCAACCAGAGGACUGCAGGUGAGAGAGAAGCAGGGAUACACAUCACCAGAAGGUUGUGUUCCAGCAGUGGGAAAGCUUCAGGAAGCUGCUAAAAGCGUUCUACACUGCAUUUUUCUCUGACCAGACUUCACGUGAGUGACCAAAUGACAGGCCAUUAUUUUUUGCAUUUCCGAGGAAGUAAUAUUUUUGCUACUUGUGACUAUUUGUAAUUUUUGCUAUUAUAGUAAGCACCUAUCCAAUCAAUCUUGAUUUUUAAAUCUCUUUUAGUCUCUUGAACAAAUACGUUUACAAGAAAAAUCAGGUUUGUUUAGAAUCAUGGAAUGAUUUAGACUGGAAGGGACUUUGAAGGUCAUCUGGUCCAACCUCCUACUCAAAGCAGACCUAACCUACUAAGAUGGGUUGGUUUUCUAUUAAUUUUUUUUUUUAUUUCAAUAGCAGUAUUUUAUGGCAAUAGUUCUUGCUGAAGAGCUUGUUCUAAACCACUUUCCAUUUACUAAUUUCCCCUGUUAACUUUGCUGCUAUAAAUAUUCCCUGUAGUCACCUUUGGAAUCAACAAUCCCUGUUCACAAUUUAUUCUCUUGCCUCUUGCAUUGACAAUGGCAAAGAAUAGACUAACCUGAAUAUGCAGAGUAAAAUACAGUUUGGAAAAUGAGGUUUAUUAUCCCAUAUUCUGAAGAAUGACCAUACCUCAGUCCAGGAUUAUUGCUUUGAAGCUAAAGGAAAUUAAACCAUUCUUCUACCUUUAGGCCCAAAAGAAAAUGACUUCAUUUCCGUGUAUUUCCAGAGACGAUGAGCUGCUGAUCUAUGAUUCUUCUCAACUUAUAGGACAGCUGAACAAAAUGUAAAAACCAAAGGCCUGGCUUUGCACUCAGCUGUUCUGGUAUAAUCCAAGCUCAGCUUCUCUGGUGUUAAUGAAUUUAUUCCAGUUUUACUGUGCUGUGAUCAAACCAGAAUAUACUGUAUAGUUUGUGUGAAAGAACUGGGCCAUUUUCUUCUGUUUUCAGAUGGUGAGCUGUCUGUUAGUUGGUCUCUAGCCUCCCUUUCUCACCCUUUCCCUAUUCUGUAAUUUAAAAAAAAAUGUGUAUUUGCAAAAGAACAACGACAAACUCUACCUGAAAAACUGUGUUACACAGUCUUGUUUUUUAAAGAGAAGCCCCCUGCAGACCAUGAAACCCAGGAAGGAUCCUGUGGAGGAUUUGGCCAUGUUUAGAAAGCAUCCAGAGUAGCUAUGACAACUUCAUGUCCGGGGGCCAAGAUCGUGUCCACAUACCAAAUCUCUGACACUAUGCAAGAUCCUUAUCCAACCUAAAGAGGAAACUGUAAAAUUAGAAUUGCCUAAAAUAACCCCUAGAGAGACUAUUGCCGGUUCUUGAGAAGAGUUGGGGUUUUUUUGACAUCUCAAAUACAGCUUUUUCUUAAAAUGUCUGAAACAGGAAACUAGUGAAAGAAAAGAAAAUAAUUAAAUGAAUAAGGUAUCCACAACCCUGGAAAAACAGGUUCCCAGCUAGGUCCUUUUUUUGUUAUUUGCUGUGAUUUCUUUAACCUUCUUUGAUCAGUUAAAUGGACUUGGAGUGUUAUAGAAGCCUCUGAAAUAUAUCGAUAUAAUUUUCUUGGGUUUAUAUUUGAAAUGGGAGGGGUAUCCAAUGUGGGUUCCAGCUCCCUCUGACCUGGAUGAGCUGGGAUUAAUGCUGAGUGCAGCGAGGGAGGCUGAUCUCAGCACAGGGAGGUGAUCAGGGUCUGAUCCAUUACCUGGUCCAGGCAGUUCGGAUGCUGACUGUAUUUUUUUGAUAUUACAUGUGGAAGUGAAGCAUUCCAGCUGAUAGAAAUCUGCUUGUCCAUGCAAUGAAUAUGUUGGCUACAGCACCUGCAGCCUGUGCUUUCUGGUAAAAGCUGAGCUCUGUGUUAAUUCUCUUAGUUAUUGAUUGGUAAUAUUGUUUCUGCUUCCUGUCUCUGCAGUUAGGUUUUUACAUCCUGCCUGUAGUUGAUCCCUUCCUGUUUCUCUGGGCAUGGCAAGGUUGUGUAAAGCAGGUUUUUAUAAAGGAAGAGAGACUUGCAAAAUGCAUUACUAAAGGUACUGAUUUAAAAAACCAGGUGCACAAAUGAUGUUUGGGUUUAAGUAGCCAGGAUGAGGUUUUGAACAUUGGCUCAGGCAGAACCAAACUCAAACAUUUUAAUAAUGGCAUGUUAACAUAACUGCCUUAUGCAAAAUAUUUCUGGCUGCUUUUUAUGAAAGUAAACAGAAAGAGUGAUAUAUCUGGAUAAAGAGGAGCAGAUGGUAAUUUUCAUUAUUCCUCCCUUCCCCUCUCCUUUUACUUGCGUCCCAGGGAGGGAGAACUAAAAGACAAAAUCUCCUCUUUAGUGACUUUGGAACAGAAACUCCAAAAUAGAUAUCCCAACUUAUGCCUUACCGUUUGCCCUGUGGGGUCAUGCUCUUGAAUGCUCUUCAUCCACUGGAUUAAUAAAGCCAAAGGAUUUUUGUUACUGAAAAAAAAUGUUCACAUUUUACACGAGUUAAGGACUGCUUGGAUUUGUGAAAACUCAUUUUUGGUGUCUAAGUUCUUAUCCAGCAAGAACUCUCCACUGUGAUAAUGGUUAUCUGCAAGUCAGUUUUAACUUGGCACCCUUCACAUUUGGCAGCAGAUUUUAGCUUUACGUAACACUGAGUUAUUAUUAAUGUACCAUAUUGCAGAUUUUAUGAAGGAACCAAGUUUUCAAGUGUUGGGGUUUUUUUUAAGUCAGGAAAUGCUACAGAUAGGCUUUUUACAGGCAUGUCACUUUAUGCUCUACAUGUCCCGUGCAUUUAUUAUAUUUCCCUUAAAAUAACCAUCCUUAGGUUAGUGCACAUAUUUAGUAAUCAAAGCCAUGUAUUAUACCGCCUGAAUACAAAAGGUUUCACUCCAUGUUUCAAGAUCUUUUUCAUUCUCCACAUUUAUAACAUGACCUGUGUUAAUAUUGCAUUGGCACUGGUGGGUUUUUUUUUAUUUGACACAAGUCUAAGGAUGUCUGAGUGGUCCUGGUUCAAGGUGUCUGUCACAUGAGGUACAGAAUUUCUCUCAGUAAAGAUUGCUUUGUUUUUAAAUUCAAGUGAAUCAGAAAAAAUACCUGUAAAAGGCUAAAAAGUAUUUAAGGGUGGUGGAGGAUGCACUUGGGGACAGCAGUUCAUACAGUGGUGGGUAAAGUGGUGUGAGCCUGGCAUGUGUAUAGGGAUGGCACUUAGUAAUUGCUUAUUCUGUUUGCCUUUUUCGUUGACUGAUGUUUUUAUCUGGCUCUCUGGAGUGAGGUAUGCUGGAUGUACUGUGGCUUUCCAAAAGGAAAUACUGAAGUAUGGCUCCCACACGGAGCCAUAAGGAAAAUAAACUGUCAUUUCUAACACACGGCACAUGAAGAAAAGCCCUUUCACAUCACUUUGUUUCCUGCUCAAAGCUGUUUCUCAAACUGUGUAAGAUCUCCAGCUCACAUUAUUGUUCUGAGGGGCUUCAUACAAGAAGGGCUUUUUUUGUCUAGCAAGGCUAAUGAGGUCCUAUAGCAAAAAGACACAUAAUAUCAGUAAGGAAACAGCUAAUCUGACAUUAAUGUUUAAUGUGUUCACUCAUUUCUAAAUGCAUAUUAAUUUGGUGUAACUUUUCUGUCCUUGUACUAGAAUAGAAAGUAGGACAUCUGUGAGUACAGUAAUUAAACAAGUCAACUAAACCCCAUUUGAACAAAAGGCUUGGCAUGGCCAUGUUCCUACAGGUGCUCUUUCUGUGCUUUCCAAAGCUGGGGUGGGUUCUGCUCUGUGUGCAUCACCAUCCCGUGUCCCUCACACACCAGCCUUGUUAGUGCAGCAGUCGAGCACUGCUGUCACAGGAAAAACCAGCAUGCAUUUCUGGUGUUCCUGGGAUCCAUCAGCACUGCCAGUCUCCCCAUCUCCUUUGUGGAGGACACAAAUUAAGGGGUUUUGUAGCUGGACUUGAGGGAUGAGACAUCCUAUCGCUACAUGCAGAGGUAACGGAGCUUUUUAGGUCAGAGAUGUCGCAGAUGUUUCUUUUAGGCCCACAUUAGAAACUUUUGCUCAUACACUGAUGUCAGCCUGGGUCUGAAAAAAACAUAAAUCCCACCUGGCCACUGGAGCUGAGCCAGCACAGUUCCUGGCGUGGACACAGCUGUGCUGCCAGGAAAUGGCUGCUGCCAGAUUAACCUGUUGGGUUCAGAGCCUGGUGCAACUCCAGUGGCACAAAAUCCCCUCUGGCAGUGCCCUUCCCUGCUGCAGAGCUCUGCUGUGUGACACUCACAGGGACUGGGACUGCAGACAGAGGCUCCUCAGGGCGGCAGUUGAGAUGGGCCUGGUGUGAGAACAAAGGGGAGACAAAGACACUGGGAAAGUGUCUGAGAACACAGCAAGAGUCAUUGGCAGGUCUGGUAGGAGGUGUCCCUUUUGACUGCAGGAGCCCCUUCAAAAACUUCCCACUCCAUAAAUCCAUUUUUUUCGCCCCUGGAAGCCACAUUUCCUAUGUAUGCCAGUUUCCACUGGCUGCAGGAACAUCUGCUGAUGGGACUAGGUUUGUUUUGCUUAGAAACACCCAACAUUUAUUGCCCUUCAGCUAAAUGCUGCAGGGUCUGUCCUAGGAGGACUGCUCUGGAUAGCAGAGAAGAGCUGGGUCUUCAGCCAGACCCUAGCGGGACAGUAAAUGCCUCUGGUUCUCAGCAGAUCCUACAGCAAGAACUCUCUCUGCCUGCUUCACAGUCCCAGCAAAAGGACUGCACAAACCCAUAACCCAGCAGUAUAUCAGGUUCAAAGUAUUUCUUCUGUCGUCACAUGCAUCUGCCUUAGGUUAUCAGCAAACCACAGAGAAUUACACCAGCGAGGAAAUAUUCAAAGGUCAGCCCAGGAUCAGUCUGAGUGACAGGUGGUGAUGGGGUUUUUAUUAGGCUUUCUGUCUCUGGUACCUGUUGAUGUAGGAAUGGUUGAGUUCCUGGGAGCCAGCAGCUCCAGGACCCUUUAGUCUAUGGGGACUUGUUUAAUUACCCUUUCUUCCUGAGAUGAACAUAAGAAAGCUUCGAUGGGUUGCAGCAGUGGCAGAGAAACGUGACUGUGAUGCUCUUUGACCAAAAUCAAUUGUCCAAAGCACUUUAGCAUGGAAAAAAUGUCACUGGACAAUGAAAACAACAGGAGUUAGUUAGUGGAGUGAAGCUGCUGGAGAGGUGAUUGUUCACUGUUUUCUGCAGUAUGAGAAGUAGAGGGCAUCAAGUAGAGUUUAAAUUACUCAAUACUUAAAAGAAUCUCUGGUUCCUGAGAUAAAUGGUUGUUUCAAUGAAAGUAUUAGAAUUAUUUUUGGUCGAAUAUCAGGAACUAGUCAUCAAAGAGAUUUGAUAAUGUAGCUAUUUGAAAUCCAUAUCUUAUAAGUGUGAAGUUCUGGCAUGACUGGAAUGAAAGUAUAGGUGAGUCAAGCACAGUAAUUUUGACCCAACUGUAGGCUACAGAAAGUUUGCAGUUUUCCAUUCCAACCAAAGACAAAAAAAUGUAAUAAUCCAAGUAUCAGAACUUCUAAACUAAUUUUCUGAAAAAUCAGGUGCUUCAGAACAAUAUCCAAGUCUUAAGAUACAGCAGAGGGACAGAACAUCUCAGUGGUUGUGUCUGUUGGGCGGAGCCUGGCAGGGCAGCAGGCACGCCUGUCCUGAGAGCAGUGCUUGGGAAGGGGCAGGGCACGACCCCUGCAUUCCCACCGCGGGCACAGCCCAGCACCAGCCUGGGGACAAUGGCAGUGCUCCUGUGAGCUCAGAGGUGCAGGAACCAACCACAGCACAACGGAAAACAGAUUUUUUUCCAAGCUAGAAAAGCCUUUGCCCCCAAGUAUUUUUAACCCACGUAUUUCAGAGCAUGUCAGACAAUUGAUCAGCAAUCUGUUGCUGAAGUGAUGUAUUUAUCUGAUGCGUGGUUUCACUUAGCAGCUACAACACGUACAGCAGAGAACUGAAAAAAAUGAACUGGAACUCUAUGCAAAAACUCUUAUUCAAAACAGAUGUAUUACUUGGUAUAUGUUUAACAUUCUCCUCAUAAUCCCAACUUGAUCCUUAACCAUCAUGCAUUAGAGUGUUGCUUUUAAAGAAGAUGAAAAUGGGCUGCUAAAAUGCUGCCCAUAUAAUCUGAAUUAUUUUCAGCCCUGUUGUUAAAGCUUAGAGAUAAAAUUCUCUUUUGAACUAAGGUUGAAGGCAUCGUGUUUGAUAUAUUGGUAUAAUUCCUGCAAUAUAAAUACUCAUAAAUUAAGUUAGUGGUAUGGUAUGAUUUCCUGUAAUCUGUUUCCAGAAUCAAUAUUUUAUUGAAUGAACUUCUUAUUUUAACUUCUCACUUACUGACCCAGUGGUGCAGCUGUAACGUGUGCUUGAUCACUCAUUCUUUUAAAAUCAGAUCUGACUGUGGAGCAGUGUAGAUGGGGGACAGUUUUGGAAGAAUCGCACUUAAUAUUGUGUGGAUAGAGACUGAAAAUAGCACUAUCACACCCUAAUGUAGAUUCUCCCAUCUUAACAUCCUGUAGUACUUUAGAAAACGGCCAUGUAAUAUAAUCCCCAUUUUAUGGGCAGGAAAACUGAAGCCAUGAUUAUUUCCUUCUUAAAGGAUGCUUAACUUUAAGCACCUCCCUAUAACAUCUACUUUUGUAAAUGUGGAUUUUAUUUUUAAGAAUCUCUUAUGCGUAGCAAUUAUCACUCAGCUAAUUACCCAAGAUUUAUUGCAAGCCUCUGCCAGUGAGUGUGUGACCUCAUGCAGAGCAAAAGGCUGUUUGUUCUGAGCAGGUGGAACUGUAUCACCCAUUGUGCCGUGCUGGGGGUGUUGACAAAGGCAGCAGCAGAUGAAGAUGCUCUGCAGUGCUUUGGGGGCUGGGGUGGUCCACUGGCCCUUCUCUGGGGCAAUGCACAGUUCUUGUGCUGUGUCCUUCUCGGGAACACAAAAACUGCCAGUAAUCAUCAUCAAUCCCUGCAGGUCUCCUGGGAGCCUUGGGUUCCUGCAGCAGAACCUGGUGCUGCAUCUCUAAGCUGCACAGCCAAGAAUGUGAUGAUUUCCCUCUCCUCAAACAGUUCCUCGCUCCCUCUUUUCUUUGCCCUUGCUUGUUCUGCGUCUGUGCUUUACAGGCUACACCACAUUUAAACACACAGUGAUCCCACUGCGGGUUUUGGGGGUGGAGGAGGGAAUGUAGGAGUACUAACAGAAAAAUUGCUCUUUUUGUGGUGACCAGAUCAACUGUAUUAGACGAAACUGCUUUUUUUUAUCAGUGUUUAAAAAGUAUUUUCUGAUGUGGUAAAAACUGUUAUAUGGAUGGAGUUCAAGAAGGUGGAGGGCAUGUGAAAGUUUAUUUUAUAAAGGGAAGACUAGAUUGUUUUGUAGUUAGGGGUUCUGUACCUAAAAUGUCUCUACAGAUUAAAUUUCCAAGUUCUUUGUUCUCAGACACUUUGUUUCAGAUGGGCAAAUGGAGAAUGAACAAUAAGGUUUAAGUCGAUGCCUUCAUAGAUGCAGUCUGAAUCCUCUGAUUUACACAACAUGGUCUCUAGGUUGAUGAUGCCACCAUAAGAUUCCAAGACCUCACAAGUCUAAUCCUGAGAAAUCCCCUGUAGCCAGUGCAUACUGACUUCAUAGGAGUGAGAUAUGAACCUGCCAUCCAGCUUCAGUCUCCUCUGUAGAUUAGUCCAGGACAUCACUCUUGAUGUUUCCAAGGAAUAUGACUCCACAAAGGCUGGUGUCAUUCUCCAGUGGAGUUUAAAAUGGAAUUUAGGAGAUCUGAUAUUCCCAGGGCAGUCAUGCAGUGCUGCAGCAGGAGGGAAACAGACAUCCAAAACAUGCCACUGUAAGAAAAGAGCAAGGAAAAGCCCAGUCCUGGAAAAUGCACUGGCACUACAAAAGAACGUGGAAGUCUGGGGAAACAAUGAAUUGGAGCUGAAAAAUAUUAUAUCAGUCCUGUAUGUUUUUAAUAAGUCGUUGGAAGGUCUUCCGUGAGGAGUUUCUGUUCAAUUUUAUCUCAGUCAGGGAUAGAAGUUGUUCAUUUGGUCCCAUAAAGAGCUGAACUUCCUGAGCAGGCACGUUGGAAGUUCUCUUACAUUGGCAUAGGAAGCUAUUUUUUUUGGUAAAACAUUUCACAUUUAUGUUCUCCCAGAAUUAAAGGCAUAGGGCCUGCUCCAGAGCCCUCUGCAGUCACUGAUACCCUCACACUGAUCUCUGGGAGCUUUAGGGCUCUCUUUUGGACCUCCUUUUUUUUCUCCCCCCUCAGUUAGCUGCCAUUUAUAUAACAGAGUUAAAAAUUUGGGGAACUCAAAGCACACAAAGAAUUUGCAGUUUGGGAUAGGAAGGGAAGGAUUCCACAUCCAGCCAAACCAACCCCUGUCUUCCCUGCCACUUGCUGCUAAGCAUGAGGAGAGUUUUCCAGCUCUGGGUGGGACUGACAGCUCAUUGCUGGGUUCCUGCUGCUCCUGGGAAACCACCAUUCAUCCAGCCUGCAAUCUGCAGAAUAAAGGAACCAGAUAAUCAAUGACACUCUCCUCUGUCCAUAUUUAAACAUUUAUGGCAUAGAUGUUGACAGAUGAUCUCACCAUCUAAACUCCCUUUGUAGUUGACAGAAGGACAAAGACACUUCUGUCUCAUAUUUUUGCAAAUAAACAAAUGGAUAUACACAUAUACAAAUGUAAAGGCUCACAAAGGUUAAUUUAAAUGGUAUCCUGACAAAACUUGAAGAAGAGAAUGAGACGUUCUUUCCUGACCUUUUUUUUUCUUUUGUACUUUGCCAAUUCAAAGGGAAGUCAGUGUGCUUUGUGCAGACAGAAGUGUAAAUCUUUUGAAACUCCAGCAAAAAAUACAUACAGCAGAUAUAAAUACAAAUAAAAUUCAGGGUAGGUGACACCUUUCUGGAGUAGUUAUGACUGGAUAUUCUGUCUACAACUAGCUGUUACAUUAAGGCUGUGGGAACAUCUACAGUGACAAAGCUGACACUUCAUUUUGGCCGCUUUAAUGAGGUGUUCGGUGUCCUGCUCCUCUGCUGGGCUUUUGCAUCACCAACCCAAAAGCUGCACCAUCACUAACACAGAGAGAGAGCCUUUUUCUGUCUCGUGUCCAGUCAAUCAGCUUUCCUCCUGUGCUUCAUCCUGCAGUGUCCCUCUGAGGCAGAGCUGCAGCCUGAGGGUCACAGACCCCAGGGAGUUCUUCGUUUCCUGAGAAAAGAUGAAACCACUGCUAUCUUUGAACAAAACCAUUUAUCUUAGUACAGAACCAGUGUCUUGUUCAUCCCCAAAAACUGAGCUGAAGAGAAGUCUCAGCCCUCCCUCAACACAUGCGAUUCUGUCCUUCAUGAAGGUUGCAAAAACAUCUGUCCUGACACAUCUGGGAUCACAAGGAGACUGAUUAAAAACCUGGAAGACAGACUGAGCUUUCCCAGUCUGAGCUUUCUGCCAUGCAAGCAGGCGCCAUAAGGCAAACCUGACUGAUCUUUUGCAAAAAAAAAAACCCAAAACAACCCAAAACCACAAAGAAUGGAAAUUUCCCCCAAAGAUGGAAAAUGUCUUUGUAGUCAGUUGCUGUUCCCUCGUUGUUCCUGAGCUGCUGGAGCCCUCUCAUGUCUCCUCGAGCUGCUGCAGAGAGGUCGGGAGGAGCCCCUGGACACCGGCAGGAGAAGAGCUGUGCGCUCAGGAGAUUGUGCUGGCUGACGGCACAGGGGGCAGUGCUCAGGAGAUUGUGCUGGCUGAUGGCAGCCCCGGGCCAGCCUGCAGGCCAUGGCACACCUGCCCUGGGCUGGGCACUGGGCUGGGUGUUCGUGGUGACCCUGCCUGCUGUGGCAGCAGAGGGUGAGCAGUGAGAGGGGAGCCGAGCAGAACACGCUGGCCUGUCCCUGCAGGAUGCAGUGUCUCCAUGGGUGCAGCUGGGCUGCCCACCACGGUCCUGUGCUGGGCAGGGGUGUGGGAGGGUCCCUGCACCCCAUGGCUUCGCUGCACAGCUCCUGGGGGCACACCGAGUUUGGACUGAAAGCCAGGAAUUCCCUCUUCUUCCUCUUGUUGUGAUACAGAAAAGAUUUCACCAGUCCCAUCAAACAAGAAGAUCCAUUGGGGUAAUUAAAAACUACUCAUUUAAUACAAACGUCUGGUGUUGCAGUAAACCGGCUGUUUUGUCCACAAAAACCUGACCAUGUUUUCAAUUAAGCCUUAUCCCCUUACUGAUGUUUUCAUAUUUGUGCUACAUUUACAUAAAGUUUCCUGACAAAAUAUGUCUUUCCUCUUGCAUGUUUAUGUGUUUCACGGUUCAGCACAUCUGUGGAAUUGUUUAGCUAUCAACCAAACUAACGCAAUACAAGAACUCUGAUCUCAUUGGGGCUUUCUCUCACCACUUGGACAUUAAGUUGCAACUACUCCUUCAGGUAGGUUUCAGCUCCAGGCUGUUCCCUGCUCUGCCACCUCCCGGGGAGAGCCCUCCCCUGCUGAAGAUAUUUGGGAUGUGGGUGUAUGACUGUGACCCGGCCAGCUGCAGGAGCCAGCCAGUGUGUGAGCAUGGGCUCAACCUGCAGAGCCCUGCAUUAGACACCUCCCUGUAGAGCUUCAUCUUGCAGAGAUGCAGAAUCCCCUUCCCAGAGCCUGCAGGGCACUGCAGGGGGAUGGCUGGCUAAUGGUCAUGGAUCCUCAGUGGGACACAGGUGUCUCUUGUGCCUCUGAAAACCCCCCCAGUCUGACUGGAGAGUCACUUCUCUCUAUCCCAGCAGCCACUUCUUCCAUCACAUUGUUUCACACUUUCUAGCACUGUGGGAACAUCGUGUUCAUACAUGAGGGAGGAAUUUAACUCUCUGAAUGGACCUGGGUGUCAUCAGCUUAAUGAUACUGUUCAGAUAAGGAAAUAAAUGCUACAUGAUGGUGCUUACCCUUGCUUGUGACAAAACACCAGCUGUUGUACAACCUUCCUUUGAAAAUUACCUAUGGACUAGCUUUCACUUUCAUAAAUGCACACAGAAGUGGUUUGGUAGGAUUAGCAUUAGCCUUAAAAAAAAAAAGUGAUAUAUUAUGCAACUGAUUCUUAGUUUUUAAAUCUUCACAGGUGGAGAAGACAUUGAUCAGGACAGAGUCACAUGUGAACAAACCAGCUGAACUGGGAAAAAACUUGCAGUGGCUCAAUAUAUAACAGCUGAUGAAAAGUUUGGGAGCAUCCUGGGCUCAGGGGCCAGUUGGCCUGGAACAGCCCACAUUUACAUUAGUAAAUUCCUGGUUAAACAGGGUGUUUGCAUUCAGAGCCGUGGUCUCACCUACAGGCAUUAGCCAUGGCUUCACUGCUGGUGGCCUUUUGGGACCUCUGAGGUGCGUUUUACUCACAAAUCAUUGUUUAUUUUAAACUCUGUGAUGGUUGAAGUGCAGCUUUGUGAGAAGAUAUGAAGUUCUUGGCAGCAAGUGUGCUGAAUUGCCUUUCUCUUUGAAAAGAGGGAGGCUGUUCACAGUGCUGUGUGGGAGGGGGAUGAGAGGCAUAGGACCUAAGUUAGAACAAACAAUGUUCGUGCUGGGUUUCAAACCCAAUUUUUGUAGCAAAAGGCAGUGGAAGGGGCUGGACUGAGAGGCUGAGCAGCCUCCAUGCUCAGAGGCCUGGAACACCCAGCUGAGCAACCUGCCCUGACCACACAAUUGUCCCUGCACUGAGCAGGAGGGUGGACUGAGGGCCCUUCCAACCUGGAUCUUGUCUGUGGAGCAGGGUGUGACCCUCUGGGACUCACUGAGGCUCCCCUGACUGUGCUCGGGUCAGGGCAGUGUCACUGAGGGGACAGCUGUUCUGCAGCAUCAGCCCUGCAGAAUGCCCAGAAAUGGAGAGGAAAUAUGUGCAGAUUUAAAAUGUUAAAACCACAAGUAUAAUAAAUUCUCAUUUAAUGUCAGUGAGUUAAUGCUGAGAAGGUAAAACAGAACAUCAGAUGUUCUUAUUUUCCCCGAAGCCCAGCUAACUUCACAGACAGAGAUUAUCAUAGGAGCAGUUUCUGAAUAACCCAUUUCAACAACAGGAUUUGUGGCUGGAUGUCAUUGUGGUAACAGCACUGCAGCUACUCUUUCAACAGUUUGGCUCACACCUAUGCACUUCACCCAGCAGUUAAUAUACAUGCUUUGAGUGGUGUGGUGAUCAACACACACAAUUUCCUGGGUGGGCUGCAAAUCCCCAAGUAUGUAUUUUUUCAAGUCGUUGAAGUUUCUGAACAUUUUUGUGUAAUUGUUGUUCUUACUCUCUUUGUCACCUUACGAUGUCUCAACACAGAUUAUUUGUUAGAAAGCCAAGAGCCAGGUGGAGUUCCUGGGGAAAAGAACAACUAAAAAUACUUCUAUUCUGUAUUCAUUCAGUGGCAUUGUCUGAUACUGUAUUACACGAGAUUACUGAUCUAAUGGAGCUUGACAUUGUACAAGAACAGGAAGCAUGAGCCCAAACCUGCCCUAAGCUGUGACACCAGGCCUAGAAAGCACUGUGGAGCGAUAAUGUGCCAAUUAGACGUGUCCAUUUGUGUUGCUUGCAGGCAAUGGAAGACAAGCCUUUCCAUCCUCCCUUCCAGAUUCACUCUCUGUAACAGUUAUGAAUGAGAGGCUGAAACUGUGAAUUACUCAGCCUGUUCAUCAAGAACAGCAGGCCCAAAUUCUUCCCCCUACCUGGCAUGAAGCUUUAUUUAUUAACUUGGUGGGAGCUUCUGGACUGCUCAGAGUAUCCCAGUCAGCCUGGUGUCAUCUGAAAAUAGCUGUCACUCUUCCCAUUCUGAGAGGGUACUGAUGAAAGGCAGCAAUGCUCUCCUGGGGGGGCUGUGUAGUUAUUAAGAAGUAGCCUAAAUGUGAAAAAUAAACAAGUAAUAACAAGUUUUAACCACCAACAGCACAGGCUAAAUAUGAAAGAUGAGGCAAAGGAAAUUCUGGUGUCUGGCUUUUCAGUCCUUCCUAUCAGGAUGAAAUUAAAUACCUUUCUACUAAAAGAGAGCCUGACCCAACGACUGCUGAAAUCAGUGGAAAGACAUCCACUGCAGAGGGUUUCUAGAAAGGCCCACCAUUCUGAAGACAACUGGCUCACACACAGCCAUUCCUUCCUGAUGGAUAUUUGCAGCUGGGGCUAAUAAUAGUAUUUAAUGUUCUUUCUAAUAAAUCUCUUGUCAUAUGUUUAGUAUGUCCAGUGUUAACUUACAUUUCAAGCACGAAAUAUGUUUAUCUCUACUGGGAGUUAUCAGAUGUAAACACAUCAAAAUGCUGUGACUAUUUGACCCCUGCAAACUAAGAUAAUUCUGUAGGAUCCAGAUCUCUGGGUAGAAUUAUUUCCUUUUUUAGUAUCUUGAUGGAAAGAAGUUUAUACUGGCCCUUGAAAAUGGUUUUUAUCACGUUUUCUGAUAGAUACUAUCAUUCUGGUUCUUUGCUUUUGUUUUUUCUUUUUUUGGAGAACCUCUAUAUGUCAUAUUAUCUGCAAAAAUCGCAUGUAAGUGGAGGGGAGUUUUGAACAUACGCCACACAUUAUAAAAAGCAAACUGUGCUUACAAGUAAAUUUCUGAAGAAAUUUUACAUUUUGCAGGAUCACUUCCUAUAUUCCUUUUGUCCUUCUGUUUCUGACACAAGCAAAAUCCCACUGCUGACUGAGGGACAGGCCUGUACGCUCUCUCUAUACAUAACAGAGAAGAGGAGCUGGAUGUGUCCCUAGAAUCUCCUCCUCCUCCUCCUAACUAGUCAUGUCUUGCAAAACUACAGUCAGCUGUGAAACCAGAAUUGAUUUUCUGUUGAAAACUCACUGAAGUUUUGAACUGAUGGAGGGGUUUAAUCCUGGCCCUCUCCCAAGCAGAAACACUUUCUGAAAAUUGAACUUAAAGUCUCUCUCUGAA